GUUUCCUCCAACACAAGCAGGGGUAGUUCAUGCAUAGCUGGGCACAGCGCCCAGGGCGAACCACACUCCCCCACACUUGGAUGCUGCAGAGGGGACACAGACAUCAAAAGCAGCCUCGAGGAAGAAGAGCAGUUACAGAAAUACAAUGCUGCCCGAAAAGGGGUAUCUUUCUGCCUCAUCCGUCCCCGGACACCUGCCAGCCUUCCAAAGACAAGCACAGGAAUAUAAGACAGCUAACGAGUGGGAUUACAGGCUCCGGUGAGAAGACGCUUUCUGCGGGGAAGGAGAGAGAGGAGGGUCCCACCUGUGUUUGUAAAGUGACGUGCACAGGGGUGGCCACCCUUGCUGGGAGGAGCCCUGUGGUAAGU
This 368-nucleotide long non-coding RNA is filed under the name Mustela putorius furo (domestic ferret). RNAcentral describes it as "lncRNA (ENSMPUG00000031438.1)". The record is from RNAcentral. Lineage: Eukaryota; Metazoa; Chordata; Mammalia; Carnivora; Mustelidae.